RNAcentral lists this small RNA (807 nucleotides) under Pongo abelii (Sumatran orangutan). RNAcentral's name for it is "retained intron". The record is from RNAcentral. Lineage: Eukaryota; Metazoa; Chordata; Mammalia; Primates; Hominidae.
GAUUAAUUGGAAUUCUUCAAAAUGUCAGAUGUGGUACCCACAGCCCCUGAACAGCCUGCAGGUGAAAUGGAAAAUCAAACAAAACCACCAGAUCCAAGGCCUGAUGCUCCUCCUGAAUACAAUUCUCAUUUUUUACCAGGACCCCCUGGAACAGCUGUCCCUCCACCUACUGGCUACCCAGGAGGCUUGCCUAUGGGAUACUACAGUCCACAGCAACCCAGUACCUUCCCUUUGUACCAGCCAGUUGGUGGUACCCAUCCUGUCCGGUAUCAGCCUGGCAAAUAUCCUGUGCCAAAUCAGUCUGUUCCAAUAACAUGGAUGCCAGGGCCAACUCCUAUGGCAAACUGCCCUCCUGGUCUGGAAUACUUAGUUCAGUUGGACAACAUACAUGUUCUUCAGCAUUUUGAGCCUCUGGAAACUGGAAGUGCAGUGUCCUCCUGGUGUCACCAUUGGCUUUGUUGCGGAACAUUGGAACCUGUGCAGGGCGGUGUACAGCAUCCAAAAUGAGAAGAAAGAAAAUGUGAUGAGAGUUCGUGGGCCAUGCUCAACCUAUGGCUGUGGUUCAGAUUCUGUUUUUGAGGUGAAACUAUGUAAAAAUAGUGUUUCUGAUAUUUUUCCUACUCAUAUUAACAGACCAUGGAAAGAUCUGGUUGUAGACAUUUUUUUUUAAUGCGAAUGUAUAAGAUAGUAUGAGGAAAGUGUUAAUUAACCAGUUGACAUCAAAAGAUUUUAAAGUUAUUGUGAGUAGAUUGAGGUUUUCCAAAAUGAAAGCUUUUUUUAUGACUUCAGUGCUUGAUAAAAAUAAAA